UCCCUGGUGGUCUAGUGGCUAAGAUGCCUUGCUCCCAGUGCAGGGGGCCCAGGUUCAAUCCCUGGUAAGGGAA
RNAcentral lists this transfer RNA (73 nucleotides) under Bos taurus (domestic cattle). It matches the Rfam family "tRNA". From Rfam's summary of the family: Transfer RNA (tRNA) molecules are approximately 80 nucleotides in length. Their secondary structure includes four short double-helical elements and three loops (D, anti-codon, and T loops). Further hydrogen bonds mediate the characteristic L-shaped molecular structure. tRNAs have two regions of fundamental functional importance: the anti-codon, which is responsible for specific mRNA codon recognition, and the 3' end, to which the tRNAs corresponding amino acid is attached (by aminoacyl-tRNA synthetases). tRNAs cope with the degeneracy of the genetic code in two manners: having more than one tRNA (with a specific anti-codon) for a particular amino acid; and 'wobble' base-pairing, i.e. permitting non-standard base-pairing at the 3rd anti-codon position. Lineage: Eukaryota; Metazoa; Chordata; Mammalia; Artiodactyla; Bovidae. RNAcentral also lists the same sequence under 1 other name. The record is from Rfam by way of RNAcentral.